This 451-nucleotide ribosomal RNA is filed under the name uncultured bacterium. RNAcentral's name for it is "partial 16S ribosomal RNA". It matches the Rfam family "Bacterial small subunit ribosomal RNA", at positions 30 to 507 of the family's 1533-position model. The record is from RNAcentral.
AGCGAACGCUGGCGGCAUGCCUAACACAUGCAAGUCGAACGAGAGCGCCUGGUCUUCUGGGUGACGGAUGGGUGAGGAACGGGAAGGUGCCUGUCGGGGGGGGGGGGAUAAGAGCGGUAAACUCUAAUACAUUCUGCAUUAUUCCGAGCAAUGAUUGCUGGGGGCAGAGUGGACAGGCGCCGGCUGAGGGGCUUGGGUGCGAUUUGGUGGUUGGAGGGGUCGCGGCCCACCAAGUCGUCGAGCGGUAGCUGGUCUGAGAGGGUGAUCAGCCACACCGGGACUGAGACACGGCCCGGACUCCUACGGGAGGCAGCAGUGGGGAAUAUUGGACAAUGGGCGAAAGCCUGAUCCAGCAAUGCCGCGUGGGUGAAGAAGGUCUUAGGAUUGUAAAGCCCUUUCGGCGGGGACGAUAGUGACGGUACCGGCAGAAGAAGCUCCGGCUAACUUCGUG